Molecule: ribosomal RNA, 320 nt
Filed under: uncultured Planctomycetales bacterium
Lineage: Bacteria; Pseudomonadati; Planctomycetota; Planctomycetia; Planctomycetales
Description: bacterial SSU rRNA
Rfam family: Bacterial small subunit ribosomal RNA
Source: RNAcentral
AUAUCUGCCUCGGGGCCCGGGAUAGCGGCGGGAAACUGCCGGUAAUACCGGAUAACAUCUCCGGAUCAAAGGUGUGAUUCCGCCUCGAGAUGAGUCUGCGUCCUAUUAAUGCUUGUUGGUGUGGUAACGGCGCACCAAGUCGAAGAUGGGUACCGGGUGUGAGAGCAUGGCCCGGCUCACUGGGACUGAGACACUGCCCAGACACCUACGGGUGGCUGCAGUCGAGAAUCUUCGGCAAUGGGCGAAAGCCUGACCGAGCGACGCCGCGUGCGGGAUGAAGGCCCUCGGGUUGUAAACCGCUGUCAGUAGGGAGCAAAUCU